This 73-nucleotide transfer RNA is filed under the name Bos taurus (domestic cattle). It matches the Rfam family "tRNA". From Rfam's summary of the family: Transfer RNA (tRNA) molecules are approximately 80 nucleotides in length. Their secondary structure includes four short double-helical elements and three loops (D, anti-codon, and T loops). Further hydrogen bonds mediate the characteristic L-shaped molecular structure. tRNAs have two regions of fundamental functional importance: the anti-codon, which is responsible for specific mRNA codon recognition, and the 3' end, to which the tRNAs corresponding amino acid is attached (by aminoacyl-tRNA synthetases). tRNAs cope with the degeneracy of the genetic code in two manners: having more than one tRNA (with a specific anti-codon) for a particular amino acid; and 'wobble' base-pairing, i.e. permitting non-standard base-pairing at the 3rd anti-codon position. RNAcentral also lists the same sequence under 2 other names. The record is from Rfam by way of RNAcentral. Lineage: Eukaryota; Metazoa; Chordata; Mammalia; Artiodactyla; Bovidae.
UCCCUAGUGGCUUAGAUGGUAAAGAAUCUGCCUGCCAAUGCAGGAGACCCAGGUUCAAUCCCUGGGUCAGGAA